GCCCGCGUAGCUCAGUGGAUUAGAGCGCUCGCCUCCGGAGCGAGAGGUCGCAGGUUCGACCCCUGCCGCGGGUACCA
RNAcentral lists this transfer RNA (77 nucleotides) under bacterium. RNAcentral's name for it is "tRNA-Arg". It matches the Rfam family "tRNA". From Rfam's summary of the family: Transfer RNA (tRNA) molecules are approximately 80 nucleotides in length. Their secondary structure includes four short double-helical elements and three loops (D, anti-codon, and T loops). Further hydrogen bonds mediate the characteristic L-shaped molecular structure. tRNAs have two regions of fundamental functional importance: the anti-codon, which is responsible for specific mRNA codon recognition, and the 3' end, to which the tRNAs corresponding amino acid is attached (by aminoacyl-tRNA synthetases). tRNAs cope with the degeneracy of the genetic code in two manners: having more than one tRNA (with a specific anti-codon) for a particular amino acid; and 'wobble' base-pairing, i.e. permitting non-standard base-pairing at the 3rd anti-codon position. The record is from RNAcentral. RNAcentral also lists the same sequence under 4 other names.